This 216-nucleotide long non-coding RNA is filed under the name Medicago truncatula (barrel medic). RNAcentral describes it as "long non-coding RNA (MTRU_LNC006491)". The record is from RNAcentral. Lineage: Eukaryota; Viridiplantae; Streptophyta; Magnoliopsida; Fabales; Fabaceae.
UGGCACGAACAACAUCAUUUGGGGUGUGUAGAUGGAAUGGUGAGUUGAGGUCAAUGUUGUGGGUGGGUUCGGAUGGCCGAUGUGCUGAUGAAGAGGGCAUGAAGUGAUGGCAGGUUUGCGUUUCGAUAAAAGGAUACGAACUUGGCAUGGAGUGAGGGUAUGAAGAGGGUGUUGGUUCAAUAUAUGGUGGUUCUACGCGGGUUUCAUCACAAGGGG